RNAcentral lists this small RNA (126 nucleotides) under Marmota monax (woodchuck). The record is from RNAcentral. Lineage: Eukaryota; Metazoa; Chordata; Mammalia; Rodentia; Sciuridae.
GCUAGGUGUGGUGUGCACACCUGUAAUGUCUGGGAUUCAGGAGGCUGAGGCUGGAGGAUUGCAAGUUUGAGGCCAGCCUCAGUAACUUAGUGAGUCCCUAAGCAAUUUAGCAAGACCCUGUCUCAA